This 137-nucleotide ribosomal RNA is filed under the name Mergus serrator. Its description in RNAcentral is "partial 12S small subunit ribosomal RNA". Lineage: Eukaryota; Metazoa; Chordata; Aves; Anseriformes; Anatidae. The record is from RNAcentral.
UCGAAUGAGAGCACAACAGUGGACACAACAGCACCCCGCUAAUAAGACAGGUCAAGGUAUAGCCUAUGGGACGGAAGAAAUGGGCUACAUUCCCUAUCCAUAGGGCAACACGGAAAGAAGCAUGAAACUGCUUCUAG